UACAAGUGGAAAUAAAUUUGUCAAUCUGCACCCUUGUAUACUCUGAUGCUAGCAAUACACUUGCUGUUCAUUCUAGGCAUUAACGUUGUUUCAUUAUGCUUUUUCAUUAUUAAUCAUUAUUAAUCAGUUAGUUCCAGUCCCUGUUUACAAGGGUAAUCCAGGGAGUGAGAAUAGAGCACUGAAGAAGGCAGGGAGAGAUGCAAGGAAGAUAGUUCCAGCUUCCUUUGUACUAAUAUAAUCAGGGCUGACCCUAAUUAACACCGGCCUUCCCUUUCCUGGCAACAUUCAUCCACAGAUCUCAGAGACACUCACCUCAUUUCACACCAUUUCUUCUGUGCUAGACUGGGAAACUCCCACUUUCCUGGGGACAAACCUGAGGCACAGAGUGGUGAAAUCGUUUGUUUGAAAGAGCUUUCUGACUCCAAAGUGUCUCGGCUGAGAGCUGAGAAGUCCUGGCUUCCUCUUCAUCCAGUAUCACCCCCAGAAACGUCUGGACCUUUCACCCAUGCAUAAAACUACUGAGAAAGAGGACUGAACAUGCAGCCACUUUGGGAGCUGACAAGCAUGGAAAGAAUGAGGUACAUGACAUAACUGAAAGCACCAUUGUGACACUGUAUGAAUCUGUGAUGCAUCCACAACUUGGAGAGUACAUUCUGGUCCCCUCCUCACUCCAAAUGACAUAGAAGAACUUGUUGAAGUAAAGGAAGGGCAACAAAGAGAUGUGUUGCAACACUAGACAUUUGCAUCAGCAUCUUCAAGAGUGUUCAGUGCAGCCACCAGCGAAAUGCCCGAUACUGGUCAUGGUCAGGGAAAGGCCACUGCAGUGGUCUGAGCAGCUGGGUGAUCCAGUGAGGCAGUCCUUAUGCUACAGAAAGGAUACCUGGAGGAGAGGGCUGGGUCACAUCAAUGGAGGGAGAAAUAUCUGCUUAUGGAAUACAGGUGGCUUCAAAAUCUC
Molecule: long non-coding RNA, 955 nt
Organism: Cygnus olor (mute swan)
Lineage: Eukaryota; Metazoa; Chordata; Aves; Anseriformes; Anatidae
Exons: 3
Source: RefSeq, a predicted model, not a curated record